GAUGAACGCUGGCGGCGUGCCUAAUACAUGCAAGUCGAACGCUGGAGAUCUAGCUUGCUAGAUCGAAGGAGUGGCGAACGGGUGAGUAAUACAUAAGCAACCUACCCACGAAGACUGGGAUAAUCUCUGGAAGCGGGGACUAAUACCGGAUAGGUAAUCGGAAGGCAUCUUCUGGUUAUUAAAGGUUAAAAACACUGGUGGAUGGGCUUAUGGCGCAUUAGUUAGUUGGUGAGGUAACGGCCCACCAAGACGAUGAUGCGUAGCCGGCCUGAGAGGGUGAACGGCCACAUUGGGACUGAGACACGGCCCAGACUCCUACGGGAGGCAGCAGUAGGGAAUUUUCGGCAAUGGGGGCAACCCUGACCGAGCAACGCCGCGUGAGUGAAGACGGCCUUCGGGUUGUAAAGCUCUGUUGUAAGGGAAGAACGGUAGAUAGAGAAUAUCUAAGUGACGGUACCUUACCAGAAAGCCACGGCUAACUACGUG
This 486-nucleotide ribosomal RNA is filed under the name uncultured bacterium. Its description in RNAcentral is "partial 16S ribosomal RNA". It matches the Rfam family "Bacterial small subunit ribosomal RNA", at positions 28 to 507 of the family's 1533-position model. The record is from RNAcentral.